RNAcentral lists this long non-coding RNA (2132 nucleotides) under Triticum aestivum (bread wheat). Its description in RNAcentral is "long non-coding RNA (TAES_LNC003901)". The record is from RNAcentral. Lineage: Eukaryota; Viridiplantae; Streptophyta; Magnoliopsida; Poales; Poaceae.
UACGACGUGCUCGGCGUGAAGAAGGACGCUGACCAGGGUGAGAUCAAGAAGGCGUAUUACGCGGUAUGGCUCGCUACAAUUGGGUCUGGCACUUAUAUUGUAAUCUUUGGCUUGUCUAAGACUGAACUUCUGAAGGCUGCUUGUGGGUAGUAAUUUUACUUGGUAGAUGCUCGAGGCCAAAAACACACACAUUAUGUACUAAAUGUGGUUGCGUAAGCUCAUGCUUAGAAAUCAAAUCUUUUUGCUGCAAACAUUUUACCAUGGUACGAGAAGAAAUCUCUAGUGGAGCAAGCCUUUUUGCUACAAACAUUUUACAUUCCAAUGCUUGGUGGUAGCCACUGUCCAAAAAUAAACGAAUUGUUCAGACUUCGGGCUUAUUAGGGUGUGUGUUCUUCUGAUUUGCGAUUCUGAUAGGACUUCUGCUCGUACUAUUGGUCGAUUCUUUCCAACUGAAUUGAUGAUACAGAGCAUUAAACACUUAGGAAAAGUUCUUGGCUGUGUGCAAAAUUUUCUUUUACAAGAAUUAAUUUUUUCUGUCUCUAAUUGAUGCUGACGACAACAGUUAUGUUCUAUCUCUAAUUUGCUGAUGACAUCUCCAUUCGUUUCAUCCAGUGAGAAAACAUGGCACCAUCCAUGAGUCUUGCAGCGAAAGGUCCGCUCCCCUUUGGAGCGCUCCCCUCAAGCGGCGUCGUGCAGAGGCCGGUGUCAGUGACCGCCUCACUGGAGCACAAGAGUGAUUAUAAGAGGAAGCUCCUGAAGUGGUUGCCUCCCUGGCUUACUGCUGCUGCUGGUUGCUUCGCCGUCCCCUUCCCCUACAGUGCUAUAUUGCAUCACUGAUCUGCACUGUUUGGUGUGUCUCAUUCCUAGUAUUGUUAUGUUCAACCACAUUGCCAGUGUUCAGAAAUAACACCUACUCACUAUGCAAAUGCAUGCAACAUAAUCUGAAAUUCAUUCAGUUUGACUGUGUGUAAACACUAUAGUGUACAACUAUCAACUUGUUUCACUAUUCAGUUUGUCACCAUUCAACUUUCUUAGUGGGGCAUCUUUCUUGUGAGAGUUUACUUGAUAGUACAAUAUGUUAGAAGAAACUACCAUGUCUCCGAAAUGAAUCAUUGAUCGCUCUUUAUACACUUACAACUCGGUUUCUUUCAUAUAAGUUCUGUUGCCUUUCUUUAGGUUGAGCUACUGCCCUGUUAAUUAUUGUAACAAACAUUAUCAUUUGCCAGUUUGCUCUGUGUUGAGAACUGACCAAUAAGUUUUGUUUGCCAAUUAGCUUUCUCUGUGCAUGCUGUUAAUCCCCAUUUUACUAAUUUCUGAAUCAAACAUUAUUAUUUCUGUCCUCAACAAGUCGCGGCGCCAUGUUCUCUUUUUGUUCAGUUAGCUCUGUCAAAUAUAAUCAACUUGCCUCUGUUCCAUUUUGCUAUUUGUACUUAGGUAGAAAAUGCUAAAUUCUGUACAUGUACAUGUAAGUCUGAAGCUAUAUUGGUUGCUUGUUUCUUAAUUUUUUUCUUCUGUAAUGAUGAUCUAAAAUGCCAUGCAGGUCACUAUUGGUGCUGCUGCUGCUGUGGUUGUUGGAGGUGUUGCUGUUGCAUCUGGCGGAGCUGCCGUUGGGGCCCCAAAAGGUAACCUUCAUCAGCCACAACCCCACAACAAUGGCUCAAGGUUUUGUGCCCCAUCACCCCUCUUUCUAAAUUACUGAAAUAAACCAAGAUCUCAUAUAUUUAGGAAUAGAGGUAGUAGUAAGGUUAAAAUAGAACAGCAAGGGAUGUUUCUAAUUUGGUUAUGCUAGAAUAAUGCAUCAACUCGUGGUAUUCUUGGAUGUUACUCUAAGGUGUCAAAAUGAUAGUAAAACCUAGGCUCUUGCAUGGUUCUUGAAUUAAUUUUUCUAUUUUAGUGCUAACAAAUAUUGCCUAUGUUGAGACUCUAAACAUGUGGAUGUUCCUCUCAUUUACAGGAAUUCUACCCGAAGAAAUUCGGAGAAAGCUUGAAGCCCUAGUUAGCGACUUGCUUUAUAUGUUAUUGACUUGUAAUGCUAAAUUUGUUGAGAAUUUUGAUGUACUAUUGCACAUGUUACUCGAAUGCUGGUAGUUAUGUACAUAUACUCACUAUAUCAUCCGUUGUUUACUUGAAAU